CAAUAGCGUAUAUUAAAGUUGUUGCAGUUAAAAAGCUCGUAGUUGGACCUUUGGCAAGGAGGCGUGGCUCAGAAUACUGUACCGCGCCGCCGAGCCUCUUUUGGGGGAAGCGCCAUUUAUGGCGGCGAACCCGGGUUACUGUGAAGAAAUUAGAGUGUUUAAAGCAGGCAAUCGCUUGAAUACAUCAGCAUGGAAUAACAAGAUAGGACUUGGUUCUACUUGUUGGUUUGGGAGCCAGAGUAAUGAUUAAUAGGGCCAGUUGGGGGCAUUAGUAUUUAGCAGUCAGAGGUGAAAUUCUUGGAUUUGCUAAAGACUAACUAAUGCGAAAGCAUUUGCCAAGGAUGUUUUCAUUAAUCAAGAACGAAAGUUAGGGGAUCGAAGAUGAUUAGAUACCAU
This 396-nucleotide ribosomal RNA is filed under the name uncultured eukaryote. Its description in RNAcentral is "bacterial SSU rRNA". It matches the Rfam family "Eukaryotic small subunit ribosomal RNA", at positions 592 to 1018 of the family's 1831-position model. The record is from RNAcentral.